AUUGAACGCUGGCGGCAGGCCUAACACAUGCAAGUCGAGCGGAUGAAGGGAGCUUGCUCCUGGAUUCAGCGGCGGACGGGUGAGUAAUGCCUAGGAAUCUGCCUGGCAGUGGGGGAUAACGUCCGGAAACGGGCGCUAAUACCGCAUACGUCCUGAGGGAGAAAGUGGGGGAUCUUCGGACCUCACGCUAUCAGGUGAGCCUAGGUCGGAUUAGCUAGUUGGUGGGGUAAAGGCCUACCAAGGCGACGAUCCGUAACUGGUCUGAGAGGAUGAUCAGUCACACUGGAACUGAGACACGGUCCAGACUCCUACGGGAGGCAGCAGUGGGGAAUAUUGGACAAUGGGCGAAAGCCUGAUCCAGCCAUGCCGCGUGUGUGAAGAAGGUCUUCGGAUUGUAAAGCACUUUAAGUUGGGAGGAAGGGCAGUAAGUUAAUACCUUGCUGUUUUGACGUUACCAACAGAAUAAGCACCGGCUAACUUCGUG
Molecule: ribosomal RNA, 484 nt
Filed under: uncultured bacterium
Lineage: Bacteria
Description: partial 16S ribosomal RNA
Rfam family: Bacterial small subunit ribosomal RNA
Source: RNAcentral